AGUCGAACGCUUCUUUUUCCACCGGAGCUUGCUCCACCGGAAAAAGAAGAGUGGCGAACGGGUGAGUAACACGUGGGUAACCUGCCCAUCAGAAGGGGAUAACACUUGGAAACAGGUGCUAAUACCGUAUAACAAUCAAAACCGCAUGGUUUUGAUUUGAAAGGCGCUUUCGGGUGUCGCUGAUGGAUGGACCCGCGGUGCAUUAGCUAGUUGGUGAGGUAACGGCUCACCAAGGCCACGAUGCAUAGCCGACCUGAGAGGGUGAUCGGCCACAUUGGGACUGAGACACGGCCCAAACUCCUACGGGAGGCAGCAGUAGGGAAUCUUCGGCAAUGGACGAAAGUCUGACCGAGCAACGCCGCGUGAGUGAAGAAGGUUUUCGGAUCGUAAAACUCUGUUGUUAGAGAAGAACAAGGAUGAGAGUAACUGUUCAUCCCUUGACGGUAUCUAACCAGAAAGCCACGGCUAACUACGUGCCAGCAGCCGCGGUAAUACGUAGGUGGCAAGCGUUGUCCGGAUUUAUUGGGCGUAAAGCGAGCGCAGGCGGUUUCUUAAGUCUGAUGUGAAAGCCCCCGGCUCAACCGGGGAGGGUCAUUGGAAACUGGGAGACUUGAGUGCAGAAGAGGAGAGUGGAAUUCCAUGUGUAGCGGUGAAAUGCGUAG
RNAcentral lists this ribosomal RNA (662 nucleotides) under Enterococcus faecium. RNAcentral describes it as "bacterial SSU rRNA". It matches the Rfam family "Bacterial small subunit ribosomal RNA", at positions 60 to 693 of the family's 1533-position model. Lineage: Bacteria; Bacillati; Bacillota; Bacilli; Lactobacillales; Enterococcaceae. The record is from RNAcentral.